This 249-nucleotide long non-coding RNA is filed under the name Physcomitrium patens. RNAcentral's name for it is "long non-coding RNA (PPAT_LNC000716)". Lineage: Eukaryota; Viridiplantae; Streptophyta; Bryopsida; Funariales; Funariaceae. The record is from RNAcentral.
UUGAAGUCUUAUUGUUCAAAGUCAGGAUUUGUAUUGGUGAUUUGGGCUUUAUAUAAUAUAAUUAAGUCUAGUAAUUUUGGCUAGUUUGUGCAAUUGAUAUAACAUCUACGGUUGCAAAUUUGAGACUUUUUGGAUUUUUGGAUGUGCUAAGUAUAUACAAAAUUUUAUAAUGAUCUAACAGUGUAGUUUAGAGAUAUCUGGUUUUUAGCAAAAGAGAGUUUGAAAAGUUGGUAGUUUGAGGUUGAAUAG